Molecule: long non-coding RNA, 944 nt
Filed under: Canis lupus familiaris (dog)
Lineage: Eukaryota; Metazoa; Chordata; Mammalia; Carnivora; Canidae
Description: lncRNA (ENSCAFG00030012754.1)
Source: RNAcentral
CUGCGGAGCUCGAGCGGGGGGCGGAGGCGCAGCUGUUCUUUCCCCGCUGCUCCCCGCCCCCCCCCCCCCUCCCGCUUCCCCCGACCUAGUCGUUCUGGGAGCCCGGGGUGCAAAAAAAGAAGAGGAAUUGAGGCGGAGAGCUCGGCGCUAAAUAUAGUGCCCCGCUGGCGCUGCGGGGCGAGCCUGGCUGCGCAGCGCCCGGAGGCCGCGGGCGCCCUGCUCCCCCCGCUGGGCCCGGGCUCCUGCGGAGUUUGCAAAGUGUGAAAAAAAAAAAAAGAAGAAAAAAGCAAAGAGCACCCCACCUGUCAGAGGCACACCCACCUCCUGCAGCCGAGGAGAAGCCCCGCAGCACUGACCAGCGCUGAAUGUCUGCAGAAGGUCCCGCACGGCUCCUCCGCGCCGCCUCACAGGCCUUGUUACACCUGUUUUAAAGAGGAAGCAACUGAGGUCCUGGGAUGUUGGGUGACUUGCCUGCGAUUUCCCAGCGGAUCUGGUGUCUCGUCUCAAGAACUGGAUAUCAGUUAUUAUCUGAGACCUUGGGCGAGUCCCUUGAGCUCUCUUGACUCCAGUUUCCCCGUCUAUAAAAUGGUGAUAAUAAAAUUUGCCCUAUGUACCUAGCUACAUGAGGAACCUUGGAGAGAAUCUAGUGACCAAACCCCUCAUUUUGCAUCAGAGAGAAGGGAGCAAAAUUAGAACCCUGGUGUCCUGGCUGCACUUUACAUGGUGCCAGCCUGUCCUCAGGGAAAAUAAUUGACAGAUAAUGGAUGGAAACAUGCUUUUAAAGCUGCAGAGCCCCAUGAAUGCAUGGCAGUUACUACUCUGACCCAGGUAGCCUCACAGCCUGGUCUAGAAGAUUCCCUCCUCAGGACCUCAGGUCGUCACGUGGAUCGGUAUUACCGAAUCUUGGUACCAGUACCAGAAAGAUGCCACAGUGUGAACACUGU